Molecule: ribosomal RNA, 554 nt
Filed under: uncultured bacterium
Lineage: Bacteria
Description: partial 16S ribosomal RNA
Rfam family: Bacterial small subunit ribosomal RNA
Source: RNAcentral
UGGGGAAUCUUGCGCAAUGGGCGAAAGCCUGACGCAGCCAUGCCGCGUGGAUGAUGAAGGUCUUAGGAUUGUAAAAUCCUUUCACCGGUGAAGAUAAUGACUGUAGCCGGAGAAGAAGCCCCGGCUAACUUCGUGCCAGCAGCCGCGGUAAUACGAAGGGGGCUAGCGUUGCUCGGAAUUACUGGGCGUAAAGGGCGCGUAGGCGGACAUUUAAGUCAGGGGUGAAAUCCCAGAGCUCAACUCUGGAACUGCCUUUGAUACUGGAUGUCUUGAGUGUGAGAGAGGUAUGUGGAACUCCGAGUGUAGAGGUGAAAUUCGUAGAUAUUCGGAAGAACACCAGUGGCGAAGGCGACAUACUGGCUCAUUACUGACGCUGAGGCGCGAAAGCGUGGGGAGCAAACAGGAUUAGAUACCCUGGUAGUCCACGCCGUAAACGAUGAUUGCUAGUUGUCGGGCUGCAUGCAGUUCGGUGACGCAGCUAACGCAUUAAGCAAUCCGCCUGGGGAGUACGGUCGCAAGAUUAAAACUUAAAGGAAUUGACGGGGUCAUAGCUG